CCUACGGGAGGCAGCAGUGAGGAAUAUUGGUCAAUGGGCGCGAGCCGGAACCAGCCAAGUAGCGUGAAGGAUGACUGCCCUACGGGUUGUAAACUUCUUUUAUAAAGGAAUAAAGUGAGGCACGUGUGCCCUUUUGUAUGUACCUUAUGAAUAAGGAUCGGCUAACUCCGUGCCAGCAGCCGCGGUAAUACGGAGGAUCCGAGCGUUAUCCGGAUUUAUUGGGUUUAAAGGGAGCGUAGUUGGGUUGUUAAGUCAGUUGUGAAAGUUUGCGGCUCAACCGUAAAAUUGCAGUUGAUACUGGCAGCCUUGAGUACAGUUGAGGUAGGCGGAAUUCGUGGUGUAGCGGUGAAAUGCUUAGAUAUCACGAAGAACUCCGAUUGCGAAGGCAGCCUACUAAACUGCAACUGACGUUGAUGCUCGAAAGUGUGGGUAUCAAACAGGAUUAGAUACCCUAGUAGUC
RNAcentral lists this ribosomal RNA (460 nucleotides) under uncultured bacterium. RNAcentral describes it as "partial 16S ribosomal RNA". It matches the Rfam family "Bacterial small subunit ribosomal RNA", at positions 338 to 795 of the family's 1533-position model. The record is from RNAcentral.